Molecule: unclassified non-coding RNA, 459 nt
Filed under: uncultured Glomus
Lineage: Eukaryota; Fungi; Glomeromycota; Glomeromycetes; Glomerales; Glomeraceae
Description: SSU rRNA
Rfam family: Eukaryotic small subunit ribosomal RNA
Source: RNAcentral
AGCAGCCGCGGUAAUUCCAGCUCCAAUAGCGUAUAUUAAAGUUGUUGCAGUUAAAAAGCUCGUAGUUGAAUUUCGGGAUUGGCGCAUCGGUCGUGCCUCACGGGGUAUGAACUGGUGCAGUCAAUUUCUCACCUUCUGGAGAACCGCGAUGUCCUUAAUUGGAUGCCGCGGGGAACCAGGACCUUUACUUUGAAAAAAUUAGAGUGUUUAAAGCAGGCAUUUUUGCUUGAAUACAUUAGCAUGGAAUAAUAAAAUAGGACGGCAUGGUUCUAUUUUGUUGGUUUCUAGGACCACCGUAAUGAUUAAUAGGGAUAGUUGGGGGCAUUAGUAUUCAAUUGUCAGAGGUGAAAUUCUUGGAUUUAUUGAAGACUAACUACUGCGAAAGCAUUUGCCAAGGAUGUUUUCAUUAAUCAAGAACGAAAGUUAGGGGAUCGAAGACGAUCAGAUACCGUCGUAGUC